This 627-nucleotide ribosomal RNA is filed under the name Kockovaella schimae. RNAcentral's name for it is "eukaryotic LSU rRNA". It matches the Rfam family "Eukaryotic large subunit ribosomal RNA", at positions 47 to 663 of the family's 3401-position model. Lineage: Eukaryota; Fungi; Basidiomycota; Tremellomycetes; Tremellales; Cuniculitremaceae. The record is from RNAcentral.
UAAGCGGAGGAAAAGAAACUAACAAGGAUUCCCCUAGUAACGGCGAGUGAACAGGGAAGAGCUCAAAUUUGUAAUCUGGCGUCCCUUGGGCGUCCGAGUUGUAAUCUAUAGAAGCGUUUUCCGUGCUGGACCAUGUCCAAGUCCCUUGGAACAGGGUAUCAAAGAGGGUGACAAUCCCGUGCUUGACAUGACGACCAGUGCUCUGUGAUACGUUCUCUACGAGUCGAGUUGUUUGGGAAUGCAGCUCAAAAUGGGUGGUGAGUUCCAUCUAAAGCUAAAUAUUGGCGAGAGACCGAUAGCGAACAAGUACCGUGAGGGAAAGAUGAAAAGCACUUUGGAAAGAGAGUUAAACAGUACGUGAAAUUGUUGAAAGGGAAACGAUUGAAGUCAGUCGUGUCCGAGGGGUUCAGCCGGUUCAUGCCGGUGUAUUCCCCUCGGAUGGGUCAACGUCAGUUUGGACCGGUGGAAAAGGGCGGUUGGAAUGUGGCAGCUCCGGCUGUGUUAUAGCCUUCCGUCGCACACGCCGGUCUAGACUGAGGAAUGCAGCUCGCCUUUAUGGCUGGGGUUCUCCCACAUUCGAGCUUAGGAUGUUGACAUAAUGGCUUUAACGACCCGUCUUGAAACACG